CCGCAGACGCCGCGGUGCACGCCUGGGCCCGGGCGCCAGGUACCUCGGAAGGCGGGAGGGAGAGCCUGCCUCGGCUGGAUGGACACAAAGCAUAGAGAGUCAUGGCCGCGGAGCGGGAGAGCGGGAGGGCAUCGCUAUGCUCAUUUUAAAGGCAGAAAACCGAGACAUGAGGCCGUAUUAGCCAAGGGAAAACAGCUGGAGAAGGACGAAGCAGGAGAUGAAAUCCAAGGACCUUUCAAACUCACACAGUUUCCUCUGAGAUCCUUUGCCUAAGAUCUGAUUCCCAUAGGAAGACCCCCCAAAAUUACUCAUAAAUAGGACUCUGAGUCUCUCCUCCAAAAAUUCCUUACUCUUCUUGCAACUUUCUAAAAGGUGGUUGGUUCAUCUUUUCCUCUCCCUUCAUGGAUUUCAUUUGCCAAAUCUAAUUAAUAAGUAAAUGUGUAAGUAUAUAACAGUUCUUUCUAUGAGCCAGAAACUGCGAAGGACUUCAUAACCGUGACUUCAUUGAUAUGCGCGGGAUACACACCCAUUAGUAACACUGUUAUCCCCAUUUACAGGUGAGGAAGUUGGGGCUUAUGGAAGGGAAGCAGCCUGCUCAUGGUGGUCCUGCUUGUACAAAUCUUUUAGCGAACAUAGGAUUUAAUUUUUAAAAAAAGACUCAGAAAAAGAAGAUGGAAGAGAAGAAACAAGAAAAGACCCCUUCUCUGCUCCCCCAGAAUUUCCACGCCCCUCCCUGCUGCCUUAGGGCGGGUGCUGUGGGUGAGGCGUCUCCCAGCAACCGUGGGUCCAUCUGUUUACUACAGAUCUGCCAGAAAGGACUCAUAGCUGUGGAGUCUUUCUUUGACCAGCCAAGGCAAUCCUUUCUAUUGCUGCAGUGAAGCUCAUCCUCCGUAGGCUUAUCUGAGCCCUUCCCUCCACUGAGACAUCUGGCGACGUUCGGAGGUGUUUUUGAGGGUCACAGCUUAGUGUGGCGCGUGUACCAUUGACAUCUAGGAGGUAAAGACCGAGAUGUUUUUCGAAGUCUCCCACUCCAAAGUUCACUGUUGAUCACAAGGAAUUGCAGUAAGGGGUCACUGUCCUGCUGUGGCUUACUCAUUCAGUGAAUAAGGGCUGAGCUGGUACUGCAUACAAGUCCAGUGCAGUCUUAGGUGCUGCCAGCCGCUGGCUCAGAUUCUGCCUUUCGAAGAGUUCACAUUGUGGUGGGAAAUGCUUCACACCCCACUUUUUAUUUAUUGAAUAAGCAAAUAAACAAAAAUCAAACAGAAACAGCCAUUUUUAACCUCAAAGAGGGUUAAUCUUUAAUCAAAGCUACAAAACCCAACCUAUCAAGCUGUAGUAGGACUUGCAUUAUUCGGGCCAAUUAAAUCUCAUUCUCAGGAAAAGAAAAUGUAUCUGGGUUUCAUCUUCCUGUCUCUUAUGAGAAAAAGGGAAAAGUAAUUUAAAAUUUUAUCUCUGGCAAUUUAAUGUAGGAGGAAACACUACAUAUAUGUGAUAAAAUAAAAAAUAUUGGAAGAAAGGAGUGAGGGAAGUCUAUCCAGAUGUUACAUAUCUUACUGUCUGUACAUACGGCUAACCUGAACUUUCCGAUUCUUUCUUUAGAUAAGCGAGCCAGUGACUGUGAAAACAGAGGCCAAUGUGUUUGUCUGUGUGUCUGGUUUGCAUGGAGCUAUGGAUACACAGGACAAGAGAUGUUAUGGAAAUAAUUCCCCAAACUCUUAAGUAAAACCACCUUACUUUCUUCUAUUCCUGUCUUAAGUGGAUGCAAUAAAACAUGGAAAAAUGGAAUAUAUACAUAGAUAGAUAGAUUUUUUUUGUACUGGGAAUAGAAUUUGGGACCCUGCACUUGUGAGGCAGGUGGCAGAAUCAUUGAGCUAAAUCCCUGGCCCUAAAAUACAUUUAAGAUUUUAUCACAAAAUAAGCUUCUAUUGGCUUCAUAUUAGAAUUCCUAUCAUUUACAUAGGAUCAUUCUUAAUUAGCAAUCAUAAAUGAUUAAAAGUCAUAUACGGACAGAAUGUAAACUCACAUCAUAAAAUGCUUUUACCACAUAUUUCCACAUUUUGAACAAGAGUCUUCAUCUGUGGAAAUUUAAACAGGCUUGAGCACAUACAAAUGAGAGGACCAAAGCUCACAUAAAACUACUUACCAUCGACCCCAGGGAAAAACUCUGGGAAUUAUAAACAUGAUACUGAUUUUUGUGAUGCAUUAAGAAUUAAGUAGAAGCUGGAGAGAAUGCAAAGCACCUUUAUAAGCAUAACUCAUCUAAUUUCCUCAUCAGUCUUAGAGGCAUAGAUUACUGUUACUCCCCCACUGUGCAGUCAAGAAAACAGCAGCUCAAAGAAAUUAAAAGCCUCAGCUGAGAGAGUAGAUCGUAGAGUCAGGAUUUUUCUCCUACUCUCAUAACUUUCUGAGAAAAAGAUGAGACACUCUUUCCAUCGCAAAUUUGAAUAUGUCACAAACUUUAAGCAAAAAUAUUUUUUCUCACUGAAAAGCAAACAAAAUUUCUCUGGAGAAAUGAAGGAAAGAUGGGCAACAUAUUCUAUGAGAGCCAUUAUUGUAAAAGCAUGCUAGAAUGCGUUAGAAAAAUCUCUUCCCUCUUUUCAAAGAUGCAGUCGUAAUUAUUUUGUCUUCCAUCGUUAGCUAUGUUUUCCGACGUGUUUUUUGGAUUUGAUGCUCUGCUUGGAGCACACCCAUAAUCUUCACGGACCUGUGGUCUCAUCUCACAAUCCCACUGCAGUUUCGGAAUGUGAUAAAUGAAGCUCAGAGAAUAAAAAUCUCCUGCCUAGAGUUCUCUUCCUUGAGAAAGAAAUUAGCCUCAGAAGUGAUGGCACAGGUGCUGCAGGCAGAGUGACUGAGUUCAUCAUUUGCUGUCUCUUCUGCUUCCGGCUGUAUGACCUUGGGUAAGCCACACCCUUCUCUCUCAGUUUCCUUUCCAUAAGAUAAAAAUAACAACAGUGCCAUCCCCAUCGCUUUACAAGAAGAGACAAAUGAGUUCGUACGGAAGUGCCCAGAGAAGCAUCUGACCCUAGACAGGUCAAUAUAGUCAUCUACCAAAAGACCAAGGAAGCUGGGCACAGUGGCA
Molecule: long non-coding RNA, 3079 nt
Organism: Fukomys damarensis (Damara mole-rat)
Lineage: Eukaryota; Metazoa; Chordata; Mammalia; Rodentia; Bathyergidae
Source: Ensembl